RNAcentral lists this ribosomal RNA (155 nucleotides) under uncultured bacterium. RNAcentral describes it as "partial 16S ribosomal RNA". It matches the Rfam family "Bacterial small subunit ribosomal RNA", at positions 355 to 507 of the family's 1533-position model. The record is from RNAcentral.
UAAGGAAUAUUGGUCAAUGGACGCAAGUCUGAACCAGCCAUGCCGCGUGAAGGAUGAAGGUCCUCUGGAUUGUAAACUUCUUUUAUCUGGGACGAAAUCACCUUUUUCUAAGGGUGUUGACGGUACCAGAGGAAUAAGCACCGGCUAACUCCGUG